RNAcentral lists this ribosomal RNA (253 nucleotides) under uncultured bacterium. RNAcentral describes it as "partial 16S ribosomal RNA". It matches the Rfam family "Bacterial small subunit ribosomal RNA", at positions 524 to 776 of the family's 1533-position model. The record is from RNAcentral.
UACAGAGGUCUCAAGCGUUGUUCGGAUUCAUUGGGCGUAAAGGGUGCGUAGGCGGCGCGGUAAGUCGGGUGUGAAAUCUUGGAGCUUAACUCCGAAACUGCAUUCGAUACUGCCGUGCUUGAGGACUGGAGAGGAGACUGGAAUUUAUGGUGUAGCGGUGAAAUGCGUAGAUAUCGUAAGGAAGACCAGUGGCGAAGGCGGGUCUCUGGACAGUUCCUGACGCUGAGGCACGAAGGCCAGGGGAGCAAACGGG